This 253-nucleotide ribosomal RNA is filed under the name uncultured bacterium. RNAcentral's name for it is "partial 16S ribosomal RNA". It matches the Rfam family "Bacterial small subunit ribosomal RNA", at positions 524 to 776 of the family's 1533-position model. The record is from RNAcentral.
UACGUAGGUGACAAGCGUUGUCCGGAUUUACUGGGCGUAAAGAGCGCGCAGGCGGUCGAUCAAGUCGAGUGUGAAAGCCCCCGGCUCAACUGGGGAGGGUCAUUCGAUACUGAUCGACUCGAAGGCAGGAGAGGGUAGUGGAAUUCCCGGUGUAGUGGUGAAAUGCGUAGAUAUCGGGAGGAACACCAGUGGCGAAGGCGACUUCCUGGCCCGUUCUUGACGCUGAGGCGCGAAAGCUAGGGGAGCAAACGGG